UUGGAGGGCAAGUCUGGUGCCAGCAGCCGCGGUAAUUCCAGCUCCAAUAGCGUAUAUUAAAGUUGUUGCAGUUAAAAAGCUCGUAGUUGAACCUCGGGGUCUACCCAUUGGUCAGGCUUAGUUGUCUGCACUGGUGAGAUGGAUCUCUACCUUCUGAGGAACUUUCAUGCCAUUUAUUUGGUGUGAUGGGGAAUCAGGACUGUUACUUUGAAAAAAUUAGAGUGUUUAAAGCAGACUAUCGUCUGAAUACAUUAGCAUGGAAUAAUGAAAUAGGACGGACUGAUUCUAUUUCGUUGGUUUCUAGGAUCACCGUAAUGAUUAAUAGGGAUAGUUGGGGGCAUUAGUAUUCAAUUGUCAGAGGUGAAAUUCUUGGAUUUAUUGAAGACUAACUACUGCGAAAGCAUUUGCCAAGGAUGUUUUCAUUAAUCAAGAACGAAAGUUAGGGGAUCGAAGACGAUCAGAUACCGUCGUAGUCUUAACCAUAAACUAUGCCGACUAGGGAUCGGACGAAGUUAAUUUUAUAAUGACGCGUUCGGCGCCUUACGGGAAAC
Molecule: ribosomal RNA, 551 nt
Filed under: uncultured Diversispora
Lineage: Eukaryota; Fungi; Glomeromycota; Glomeromycetes; Diversisporales; Diversisporaceae
Description: SSU rRNA
Rfam family: Eukaryotic small subunit ribosomal RNA
Source: RNAcentral